AAUCUAAUAGAUUUUUCAUUCUUUUAUAUACAGUGGCUUCAAAGACCUUUUUGACUGGGAGCACUUCAUAGAGACAUUGAAAGAUGAUGUCCACAUUGUUGAGACAUUGCCACCUGAGUAUGCUGGAAUUGAACCUUUCACAAAGACCCCAAUAUCCUGGUCCAAGGUCAGUUAUUAUAAAUCGGAGAUCCUCCCACUUCUGAAGCAGCACAAAGUUUUGUACUUCACGCAUACUGAUUCCCGACUUGCCAAUAAUGGACUACCAAAUUCCAUACAAAAGCCGAGGUGCCGUGUGGACUAUAGGGCAUUGAAAUAUUCAGGCCCAAUUGAAGAACUUGGGAACACCUUUGUUUCAAGGAUGCAAGAGAGUGGAAGCCCUUAUGUAGCUCUCCAUUUAAGGUAUGAGAAGGAUAUGCUGGCAUUUACUGGCUGCAGUCAUAAUUUGACAGCAGAGGAAGAUAAGGGACGGGU
Molecule: long non-coding RNA, 471 nt
Organism: Telopea speciosissima
Lineage: Eukaryota; Viridiplantae; Streptophyta; Magnoliopsida; Proteales; Proteaceae
Exons: 3
Source: RefSeq, a predicted model, not a curated record